AGAGUUUGAUCCUGGCUCAGAACAAACGGCUGGCGGCAUGCCUAACACAUGCAAGUCGAACGAGACCUUCGGGUCUAGUGGCGGCACGGGUGCGUAACGCGUGGGAAUCUGCCCUUCGGUUGGGAAUAACACAGAGAAAUUUGUGCUAAUACCUUAUAAUGUCUUCGGACCAAAGAUUUAUCGCCGAGGGAUGAGCCCGCGUAGGAUUAGGUAGUUGGUGGGGUAAUGGCCUACCAAGCCGACGAUCCUUAGCUGGUCUGAGAGGAUGAUCAGCCACACUGGGACUGAGACACGGCCCAGACUCCUACGGGAGGCAGCAGUGGGGAAUAUUGGACAAUGGGCGAAAGCCUGAUCCAGCAAUGCCGCGUGAGUGAUGAAGGCCUUAGGGUUGUAAAGCUCUUUUACCAGGGGUGAUAAUGACAGUACCUGGAGAAUAAGCUCCGGCUAACUCCGUG
This 455-nucleotide ribosomal RNA is filed under the name uncultured Sphingomonadaceae bacterium. Its description in RNAcentral is "bacterial SSU rRNA". It matches the Rfam family "Bacterial small subunit ribosomal RNA", at positions 8 to 507 of the family's 1533-position model. The record is from RNAcentral. Lineage: Bacteria; Pseudomonadati; Pseudomonadota; Alphaproteobacteria; Sphingomonadales; Sphingomonadaceae.